Molecule: ribosomal RNA, 666 nt
Filed under: uncultured fungus
Lineage: Eukaryota; Fungi
Description: eukaryotic LSU rRNA
Rfam family: Eukaryotic large subunit ribosomal RNA
Source: RNAcentral
CCCGCUGAACUUAAGCAUAUCAAUAAGCGGAGGAAAAGAAACUAACAAGGAUUCCCCUAGUAACUGCGAGUGAAGCGGGAAAAGCUCAAAUUUAAAAUCUGGUGGUCUUUGGCCAUCCGAGUUGUAAUUUAGAGAAGCGUCUUCCGCGCUGGACCGUGCACAAGUCUCCUGGAACGGAGCGUCGUAGAGGGUGAGAAUCCCGUCUUUGGCACGGACACACCAGGGCUUUUGCGAUGCGCUCUCGAAGAGUCGAGUUGUUUGGGAAUGCAGCUCAAAAUGGGUGGUGAACUCCAUCUAAAGCUAAAUAUGGGCGAGAGACCGAUAGCGAACAAGUACCGUGAGGGAAAGAUGAAAAGAACUUUGAAAAGAGAGUUAAACAGUACGUGAAAUUGUUGAAAGGGAAACGUUUCAAGUCAGUUGCGUUGGCUGGUAAUCAACCUUUGCAAUCUUGCUGGGCUUACUUUCCAGUCGACGGGUCAGCAUCAAUUUUGACUGUCAGAUAAAGGCGUGGGGAAUGUGGCAUCCUCGGAUGUGUUAUAGCCCCUUGUCAGAUGUGAUGGUUGGGAUUGAGGAACUCAGCAUGCCUUUACCGGUCGGGGCCUACGCCCACGUAACGUGCUCAGGAUGCUGGCAUAAUGGCUUGAACCGACCCGUCUUGAAACACGG